RNAcentral lists this ribosomal RNA (660 nucleotides) under uncultured bacterium. RNAcentral's name for it is "bacterial SSU rRNA". It matches the Rfam family "Bacterial small subunit ribosomal RNA", at positions 94 to 788 of the family's 1533-position model. The record is from RNAcentral.
AGUGGCGGACGGGUGAGUAACGCGUGAGAAUCUGCCUUGGGGUCGGGGACAACCACUGGAAACGGUGGCUAAUACCGGAUAAGCCGAUUGGUGAAAGAUUUAUUGCCCGAAGAGGAGCUCGCGUCUGAUUAGCUAGUUGGUGAGGUAAGAGCUCACCAAGGCAGCGAUCAGUAGCUGGUCUGAGAGGACGAUCAGCCACACUGGGACUGAGACACGGCCCAGACUCCUACGGGAGGCAGCAGUGGGGAAUUUUCCGCAAUGGGCGAAAGCCUGACGGAGCAAGACCGCGUGAGGGAGGAAGGCUCUUGGGUUGUAAACCUCUUUUCUCAGGGAAGAAGCUCUGACGGUACCUGAGGAAUCAGCCUCGGCUAACUCCGUGCCAGCAGCCGCGGUAAUACGGAGGAGGCAAGCGUUAUCCGGAAUUAUUGGGCGUAAAGCGUCCGCAGGUGGCGAUUCAAGUCUGCUGUCAAAGCACGGGGCUUAACUCCGUAAAGGCAGUGGAAACUGAAUAGCUAGAGUGCCGUAGGGGUAGAGGGAAUUCCCGGUGUAGCGGUGAAAUGCGUAGAGAUCGGGAAGAACAUCGGUGGCGAAAGCCCUCUACUGGACGGCAACUGACACUCAGGGACGAAAGCUAGGGGAGCGAAUGGGAUUAGAUACCCC